AGCCAGGUAUGGUGGUGCACGCCUGUAAUCCCAGCUACUUCGGAGGCUGAAGCAAAAGAAUCAGUUGAACCUGGGAAGUGGAGGUUGCAGUGAGCUGACAUGGUGCCAUUGCACUCCAGCCUGGGUGACAGAGUGAGACUCUGUCUCAAAAAAAAAAAAAGACACUUUAAAAAAUGAAAACAAACCACCACAGACUUGAAGAAAAUACUUGCAAAUCACAUGAUACAGGAUUUGCUUCCAUGGUAGUCCGAGUGCAGUGAUAUUCACAACUAAUUGAUCAUAACCAGUUACAGAUUCCUUUGUUCCUUCUCCACUCUUACUGCUUCACUUGACUAGCCUUUUAAAAAAAGGAUUUGCACCCAGAAUAUAUAAACAACUCUCAAAUGCAAUAAGAAGAAGAUAAACAGCCCAGUUUUGAAAACUGGGCAAAUCAUUUCAACAGAUAUUUCACCAAAGAAGAUACAUAGGAG
This 470-nucleotide long non-coding RNA is filed under the name Homo sapiens (human). RNAcentral describes it as "HSALNT0283567". The stretch from base 242 to 342 matches the Rfam family "Y RNA". Lineage: Eukaryota; Metazoa; Chordata; Mammalia; Primates; Hominidae. The record is from RNAcentral.